Molecule: long non-coding RNA, 439 nt
Organism: Phyllostomus discolor (pale spear-nosed bat)
Lineage: Eukaryota; Metazoa; Chordata; Mammalia; Chiroptera; Phyllostomidae
Exons: 3
Source: RefSeq, a predicted model, not a curated record
AAUUUUAAAUGUUAAUAUGCAAAUCCAUAGUCUAGAGCAAAAUUUCAAAGGUAAUUGAAUUCACAAAGGUAAGGUAAACCUGGCUUUUAAUAACUCUACAGCAGAAAGGAAUGACUGUAGAGAAUGACCAUACAGCUGUUAUGGAGAGGAGCAAUGAACAAAGGACAAUUCAGGUGGUAACGUGUUUACUUCUUAGACUGUAGUCCUGCUGCUGUUUGAUUUCUCACUGUAGUGUCAUCCAAAUUUAAAACUUGCUACUUAAAAUGUUUAUUUUCUUUUUUAAGCACAGAAAACCUUGGCUAAACAGAGAUUCAUAAAUAAUAAACUAUGAAUGCAAAUAUUCCAACAAUUUCCUCUUUAACAGGAUAUCAGUAUUUAAUCAUAUAAUUGAAAAUUGGCUGUCAUGACACUUAAUUAUAUUAGAAAGAAUAAAAAUGCA